RNAcentral lists this ribosomal RNA (1510 nucleotides) under metagenome. RNAcentral describes it as "bacterial SSU rRNA". It matches the Rfam family "Bacterial small subunit ribosomal RNA". The record is from RNAcentral.
AGAGUUUGAUCCUGGCUCAGAACGAACGCUGGCGGCGUGGCUAACACAUGCAAGUCGAACGCGAACGGCUCUUCGGAGCUUAUUAGAGUGGCGAAAGGGCGAGGAAUACUUGGGUAACGUACCCUACACACCGGGAUAACUGUGGGAAACUACAGAUAAUACUGGAUGAGACCACGACUCGUAAGAGUUGUGCUCAAAGGGCGGGGAUCUCUUCGGAGACCCGUUGGUGUGGGAGCGGCCCAAGUCCUAUCAGGUUGUUGGUGAGGUAAAGGCUCACCAAGCCUACGACGGGUACCGGGACUGAGAGGUUGAUCCGGCGCAUUGGGACUGAGACACUGCCCAGACUCCUACGGGAGGCUGCAGUAACGAAUAUUGGACAAUGAGCGAAAGCUUGAUCCAGCGACGCCGCGUGUAGGAUGAAGUCCCUCGGGAUGUAAACUACUGUCAGGGACUACCAAGCAAGGACUGUUAAUACCGGUCUGCGUUGAGGAAUCCCAGAGGAAGCCACGGCUAACUUCGUGCCAGCAGCCGCGGUAAGACGAAGGUGGCGAGCGUUGUUCGGAAUUACUGGGCUUAAAGCGCAUGUAGGCGGAUCAUCAGGUGUCUUGUGAAAGCCCUCGGCUCAACCGAGGAACUGCUGGGCAAACCGAUGAUCUUGAGGCAGGUAGGGGCAACGGGAACUCUUGGUGGAGCGGUGGAAUGCGUAGAUAUCAAGAGGAACGCCAGAGGCGAAGGCGCGUUGCUGGGCCUGUCCUGACGCUGAGAUGCGAAAGCGUGGGUAGCGAACGGGAUUAGAUACCCCGAUAGUCCACGCCCUAAACGAUGUCAACUAGAUCGAGGGUUCUCUGACGGAUUCUUGGUCGAAAUGAAAACGGUAAGUUGACCGCCUGGGGAGUACGGUCGCAAGGCUAAAACUCAAAGGAAUUGACGGGGGCUCACACAAGCGGUGGAGCAUGUUGCUUAAUUCGAUCAACGCGAAGAACCUUAUCCUGGGCUUGACAUAUUUGGAUGACCAUCUGGAAACAGAGUAGUCUGCUCUUCGGAGUGAAACUUAUACAGGUGCUGCAUGGCUGUCGUCAGCUCGUGUCGUGAGAUGUUGGGUUAAGUCCCGUAACGAGCGAAACCCUUGUCGUUAGUUGCCAGCGCGUUAUGGCGGGGACUCUAGCGAGACUGCCGGUGUUAAACCGGAGGAAGGUGGGGAUGACGUCAAGUCCUCAUGGCCUUUAUGCCCAGGGCUGCAAACGUGCUACAAUGGCGUGUACAAACCGACGCAAGACCGCGAGGUGGAGCAAAUCGGAAAAAACACGCCCCAGUUCGGAUUGGAGUCUGCAACUCGACUCCAUGAAGUCGGAAUCGCUAGUAAUCGCGUAUCAGCGUGACGCGGUGAAUGAGUUCCUGAGCCUUGUACACACCGCCCGUCAAGUCAUGGAAGCUGGUAGCACCCGAAGUCGCCCUAUUUCAGGGGUGCCGAAGGUGAGAUCGGUAACUGGGACUAAGUCGUAACAAGGUA